Molecule: ribosomal RNA, 389 nt
Filed under: uncultured bacterium
Lineage: Bacteria
Description: bacterial SSU rRNA
Rfam family: Bacterial small subunit ribosomal RNA
Source: RNAcentral
GACGAACGCUGGCGGCGUGCUUAACACAUGCAAGUCGAGCGGUAAGGCCCUUUCGGGGGUACACGAGCGGCGAACGGGUGAGUAACACGUGGGUGACCUGCCCUCAGCUCUGGGAUAAGCCCGGGAAACUGGGUCUAAUACCGGAUAUGACUCCAUGACGCAUGUUGUGGGGUGGAAAGCCUUGUGCGGCUGAGGAUGGGCCCGCGGCCUAUCAGCUUGUUGGUGGGGCGAUGGCCUACCAAGGCGACGACGGGUAGCCGGCCUGAGAGGGCGACCGGCCACACUGGGACUGAGACACGGCCCAGACUCCUACGGGAGGCAGCAGGUGGGGAAUCUUGCGCAAUGGGCGAAAGCCUGACGCAGCGACGCCGCGUGAGGGAUGACGGCCU